GGGUAAUACACAUAGUGAUUAGUAUUAAAGGUUAUCUCCAACCUGUUUUCACUGUUAAUAGAAUAAUGUCCUAUUGGCAUCAUUUAUAUAUCACCCCCUAGAAAAACAGUCAAAGAGUGUUUUAAACUAAAGUUUCACUCACCUUAAUCCAGCCCUGGACGAAGCUCCCCGAAGCUCUUCCUGCAAGAGAGAAGCAGUUAGGUCUGUUACCAGCGUGCAGUGCACACUGACCACAGACGUAAUUUAUGCACAGAAUUGACACUAGGCAACCCAGAAUGCUGUGCUGCCUAAGUCACGUGUGUUUUGAUUUACUAUUUGUGCACUAUUAAAGCAUUAUGUUAAAGGGUCACUCCACUGCCCGAAUACAAAAUACAUUUAAAAAAUGUUUAGUAGAUAAACCCCAAAUGAAAACGUGCGUGUAUUUAAUAAUGGGGUUAUAUCUGGAAAACCUGCAGAUCUCCUGUCAGCUGCCUUUGCAAGCCCGCCCCUUCGAAACCAGCCCAGACUUUCUGUGUCUGUCCAAUCACAGACAAAACCAUGAAGUAACAGGACCUGUUGUCUGUUUGACAGCCAGGUGGUUAAUUUAAAAAAAGUGAAUGUUUCUAUUAAAAUCUGAACUUUUUCCGAAAUAAUAAAAAUAGGACACACAUAAACCAUUUCAGCAAGCUAAAGUGCUCUUGGGGUCUGGUGUGUCCCUUUAAAGAUAUCAGUUAAAAGUAACAUAAUUAUUGAUGUGAAUCCAUGUUUUUUGUUGUUUUGCUAUUUUUUUAAUAAUA
This is a non-coding RNA of Pelobates cultripes (western spadefoot toad), 776 nucleotides long. The record is from the annotation of a GenBank genome assembly. NCBI's taxonomy places the organism in Eukaryota, Metazoa, Chordata, Amphibia, Anura, Pelobatidae.